Regulatory RNA element from Gasterosteus aculeatus (three-spined stickleback), 114 nucleotides. It matches the Rfam family "Potassium channel RNA editing signal". Rfam says of the family: This family represents a group of sequences related to the human potassium channel Kv1.1 hairpin element which directs the efficient modification of an adenosine to inosine by an adenosine deaminase acting on RNA (ADAR). The ADAR modification causes an isoleucine/valine recoding event which lies in the ion-conducting pore of the potassium channel. The record is from Rfam. Lineage: Eukaryota; Metazoa; Chordata; Actinopteri; Perciformes; Gasterosteidae.
GUAGGCUACGGGGAUAUGGUCCCGACCACCAUCGGCGGCAAGAUCGUGGGCUCCCUCUGCGCCAUCGCUGGUGUGCUCACCAUCGCCCUGCCCGUGCCUGUCAUCGUGUCCAAC